Pogoniulus pusillus (Red-fronted tinkerbird) is the source of this 2696-nucleotide RNA transcript. It is a transcript of the gene named small nuclear ribonucleoprotein U11/U12 subunit 35, with no coding region annotated. The transcript has 3 exons. The record is from RefSeq and is a predicted model, not a curated record. NCBI's taxonomy places the organism in Eukaryota, Metazoa, Chordata, Aves, Piciformes, Lybiidae.
CCGCUGCCUGGCGCCCAUCCCCCACCGCACCGCCGCCGCCGGGCCCGGGCGGCGCUUCCCGCGUUCCCUGUCACGUGACAUGCCGCGCCUCGUGCCUCCCUGCCCCAGCAACAGGGGAAGGGACCAAAAUCCUCCCGCUCAAAAAGCAACAAACACGCGGCCAAUCCACUAUCCUCAAAAACCGAUGUCCCCACGGGCGGUCCUAGCCUCAAGGCGGUGGUCGGAUUCAAGACCGGCGAUCUGAGCCCGGUGCCCGGUGGGUGGGGGAGGGGAAGGUGGAGGCGAACGGCUGCACGCGGUCACGUGACUCCGGCUCCUCCAAGAUGGCGGCUGCGGAGAGAGACGCGACAGGCAGCGCUCUCGCGAGAUUCGCUUCCUUCCCGAGGCAUCAUGGGAAGGCAAAAAGCCAGCCAGCGGCCUCCCGCCGGGGCGCGGAGCGGCGGCAGUGCGCAGGCGCAGUGCGCACCGCCUGAGAGCGCCUGGCCAUGGAGCUGGAGGGUCGGGGCGGGCCGGGGCGGGCUGGGUGCUGCGUUUGCUGCUCUGUCUGCAGGGGCUGCCGGUCUGAGCAUGAGUGAUGCCGCCUCAGCUCCUGCCCACCCCUGCUCCGUCUGAUGAAUGCGUCUCCCUUUAGGUGGCCCCAUAUCUCCGUCCCGCCGCUGUUGGUAUUAGUGUGCCUGUGGAGCCGGCGCUGGGCUCGUCGUCAAAACACUCUGAGGCGGCCCUCUGGAGCUCCGAGUAGUCUGAGGGUGGUCGGUGAUACCAGUCGUAGAGAUGCCUAUAGCUCCCCCGAUUUCCCUCAGCAGUCCCACGACACUUCAGUGUUUCUCUCGCAAGAACUUCUUGGACUUGCUGUGGCAGAGUGAGUGAGGGAGCGGUGCAAUGCAGAGGGCCAUCACUGCUGACUACCCUGUGAGAAUGCCACACCUUGGAGAUGCGCUGGCGAUGAGUCGUCCCUUAAAUACAUUGGAAGCUGCUAAAGCGAAAUUUUAUGCUGCAAGGAGACUGCUACACAUGAAAACCUGAUGACUUGAAAUAACUAACUGAAAACCUGAUACUAGGUCUACUUUCAGAGACAUGAUUUUAGUACUUAAGGUCCUCAGACCAACAUCAAAAUGUUUUCCCAGCUGUGUAAGACUAUGUCAUAUUUUAAGAACUUCAAACUAAAAUUGAAGCAGACAUCAAUGAAGUGUGGGCAAUGGCGAAAUCUGCUUUAAAUGUCCACUACUACCCAUUCUGUUUUAAAUAAGUUUACUUAUUUUAUCUUUAGGCAAACUUUACAAGGAUUAAAACAACCAAUAAAGGAUUAGACAGAUUUAGGCUAAGCUAUUUAAAGACAAAGUAAUGUUAAUUAAACGGACUUAAGUAAUUCAGAUUAAUCACUGAUGCUUCAGACACUAAAUGGAGAAAAAGACAACAGAAGUCUUGCCAGAGACAAGAAAAUACUUAAGCAACAGUUAAUAUCUUGACUAUUGCACUCUACGCACUUCAAGGCACAAUGAAAUACAGUUCAUGUGUGCUCUAUCUAACGUUAAAAGCAUCGAAGCAGCUCCCUACAAUCAUGGCAAGAAAGUGAUGUUUUUGAUGUCUUGUGCUGAAAAGAUAGUUAUCUGGCAGGCCUGUGAUCAUCCUCGACUGAGAGAGGACCAGAUCCAAUUGCAGCUGAUAAAAGAAGUAUCUAGUCACUGAGGCUUUCUGCUGAGCAUGUUUGGUCCUGCAUGGCCAGGCUUAGGAUCUUGAAGUCCACACAAAGGACUGCUGUAUUUAUGCAGCUUUCUUUGAGCCACAACUGUUCCUGAGCUUUUCCUGCUUACCAGUACCCAUCCUGCAGAAGAGUCAGACUCAUGCUGGAACACAGGUAAUAAUGACACUGCUGCUCUGUAGUGAUUCAGUGCACUGGGAAUCAACUAGAUGUUAAAAAAAAGUAUGGAUUUGUACUUUAUUUUCCCUGCUAAGAUAUAUUUCCCCCAAAGUUUUGUCUGUGCUGUCUGAAAACUACUUGAGCUAUUUUGUGACAAUUAGAGAAGCUGGCACGGAGCAGAAAUGGUUAACUGGCAUGAGAGCAGCAGACAUCUGGCAAGCACGGUGUUAUGCAGCUAUGUUUAGGAAACUUUCUAACACAUGUAAGCUUCAGAAGCAUCUACAUAGGACAUCAACUGGUACAAUGAUACUAGGUGUUGUUACCAGGCUCAGUUCAGUAUCCACUUUACCGCACAGCAUUUUGUAGAUAUCCAAGAUAAACAAUGACUGUUCACUGGCAGUACAGGGGUCUCUGCAAUCAGUGGGAAGGCUGACUUAGGGCAGAUCUUUCCAGAGGUUACAGGCUCUCAAAACACCUUCUGGCAGCUAAGGCUCAGCUAACUUGAUUCUAGCAGAAGGUCUAGCUAUGGUAUCAGAUCAGCAAGAGAUGUUCACUUGCCUCCAAGUUAGAUCCAUUAGAAAGGCACAGGUUUUGUACAUGUAUUUUUAUCUAUUCUCCAGGCCUUCUGACUUAAUACUCUGGACACUUCACAGGACUUUAUACACUGAAGAGCUUCUGUCACCCUUGUCAGAGACACUGCCCUGAGACUUCCUCUGUAAAAUGUUGCAGGGAUUGUGGCAUAUUUUUCAUAUGCUGAGUGCAUAGUUUCCUAGCUGACUCUUUUCAAAACAUAACACUUUAAAUUAAAGCCAGCUCUUGAAGGUCUUUAUUUCAGAUA